UCAUUAUACCAGUAAUCGUUACAUCCCUGAUUAAUAAAAGCAUUAAAAAAAAAAACCCAAAACAUUAAAAUCUAAUAAAAACUGAUACCUAAUUCAUAUCUGUAUGUACUCAGGGAGCUGAGAUAUGAAGAAAACUGAUUUUCCCCGAUUUCGCGUUAGCCAUUUUGAAAAAGCCGCUGUAAUCCGAGUCCAUCCCAUGAUAUCAAGCCUUAACAUCGUGAUUUCUAAUUGUUAUGAUCCACCGAACAAAACGAUACCACUCAGUCAUGAAGGGUUCUGGCGGGGGUAACUCUUCUGGGCUCCUGGAUUAUAAUGUGAAGCUGGUUUUGCACAUUUUCAAAAAUAUCGUUGUGAAUAUUCAUUAAAUAGUCGUAUUCUUUGCUCCACAUUUUCAUUGUCUCUUUGUAUUGUUUCAUUUACUGUUUUUAAAAGAGAUAUUUCUUGACUAGAGCUGUAAGUGUAUUGGUCUCAUGUGAAGAAAAUGAACUGCCCACCCCUGUCCCAAGGUGACGGCAAAUUUCUCUUUUGGAUCUCGAGCUGAAAGUUCGGAACGACUCAUUUACUGAGACGCAUCAUAUUCUGUAAAAUCGUCAUGUAUUUGUAGCGCCGCUGUCCUGUGAGAUCCACAUAUCUUUAAGAAGUCGACUUUUAUGAGCUGAGAUAAUAUGUGACAAUGUGUUUUCCAUCUAAUCCCAUAAGUGUAUUUUGGCUGAAGGAGGUGGAAUAUAUCUGUAAGAAGUCUGAGCUGUUCUUAGAUUUGUGAGGCUGCAUUGAACAACAAAUCCAAGAGUGUUUUUAAAGAGUUAAUUUAGAUUAACGCUUUAAACCCCUGAGCCUAAAGUGGUCCAAGUGGAUUUUUUUUUUUUAUUUUGACUAUAAAACGGUGAGAAAAUAUGCUGAGCGAGUCCAUUUGCCUUAUUUUCCAGAGCACUUUUUUCCAGAUCUUUCAAAAUCUAGCAGUCAUUUACAAUUUACUGUAUGUUAUAAUUCUGCUAAAGUAGCUUCUUCUCCAGACUCAAUUAAAUCUAUAAAGCACAACAUAAAAAGACAACUACCAACAAGCAAAAAAAAGUUAAAAAAAAAAAAAAAAAAAAAAAA
Sphaeramia orbicularis (orbiculate cardinalfish) is the source of this 1098-nucleotide long non-coding RNA. RefSeq lists it as uncharacterized. The transcript has 2 exons. The record is from RefSeq and is a predicted model, not a curated record. Lineage: Eukaryota; Metazoa; Chordata; Actinopteri; Kurtiformes; Apogonidae.